Molecule: long non-coding RNA, 366 nt
Organism: Crotalus tigris (Tiger rattlesnake)
Lineage: Eukaryota; Metazoa; Chordata; Lepidosauria; Squamata; Viperidae
Exons: 2
Source: RefSeq, a predicted model, not a curated record
GAUUCCAUUCAGCAUCGGCGCCAUCUGGCAAAAAGACCCGCCUUUCCUCCGCAGCCUCUCCCUCUGACUCUCCACCCUCGGUCCAUGCUUCUCAAACAAAACGUCAUCGAUGGGUACCCGGAAGUUACGGCUUCUCCUUGGCUUUCCCAGAUGGGGGAAAAGAACAACCUCGCCUCAGCGGUCGCAUCGUGUGACAAUCUGAAAACAAAAUCAAGUGAAACUGAAGCCUGGAAGCUGGGAGACAAUGAGGCAACUGUUGAGCUAUUAAACAGAUAAUAGCAAGUGAAUCCAGAGAUGCAGCGCUAAUUCUGGAAUGUUCCAAGAGUUCCUGCGCAAGUAUUUUCAGUUAAAGCUUUAGUAUAGUAA